This 253-nucleotide ribosomal RNA is filed under the name uncultured bacterium. RNAcentral's name for it is "partial 16S ribosomal RNA". It matches the Rfam family "Bacterial small subunit ribosomal RNA", at positions 524 to 776 of the family's 1533-position model. The record is from RNAcentral.
UACAGAGGGUGCAAGCGUUAAUCGGAAUUACUGGGCGUAAAGCGUGCGUAGUCGGUUAUUUAAGUCGGGCGUGAAAGCCCCGGGCUCAACCUGGGAAUUGCGUCCGAUACUGGUGGGCUUGAAUCCGGGAGAGGGAUGCGGAAUUCCAGGUGUAGCGGUGAAAUGCGUAGAUAUCUGGAGGAACACCGGUGGCGAAGGCGGCAUCCUGGACCGGUAUUGACGCUGAGGCGCGAAAGCCAGGGGAGCAAACGGG